Ciona savignyi (Pacific transparent sea squirt) is the source of this 82-nucleotide non-coding RNA. The record is from Rfam. NCBI's taxonomy places the organism in Eukaryota, Metazoa, Chordata, Ascidiacea, Phlebobranchia, Cionidae.
GACGAGGUGGCCGAGUGGUUAAGGCGAUGGACUGCUAAUCCAUUGUGCUCUGCACGCGGGGGUUGGAAUCCCAUUCUCGUCG